ACCACCGUGGCGAAGUGGCUGAACGCGCCCGUCUUAAAAUCGGGUAUGCUCCGAGGGAGCUCGAUCGCGGGUUCGAAUCCCGCCGGUGGUA
This 91-nucleotide transfer RNA is filed under the name Halorarum halophilum. Its description in RNAcentral is "Halobaculum halophilum tRNA". It matches the Rfam family "tRNA". From Rfam's summary of the family: Transfer RNA (tRNA) molecules are approximately 80 nucleotides in length. Their secondary structure includes four short double-helical elements and three loops (D, anti-codon, and T loops). Further hydrogen bonds mediate the characteristic L-shaped molecular structure. tRNAs have two regions of fundamental functional importance: the anti-codon, which is responsible for specific mRNA codon recognition, and the 3' end, to which the tRNAs corresponding amino acid is attached (by aminoacyl-tRNA synthetases). tRNAs cope with the degeneracy of the genetic code in two manners: having more than one tRNA (with a specific anti-codon) for a particular amino acid; and 'wobble' base-pairing, i.e. permitting non-standard base-pairing at the 3rd anti-codon position. The record is from Rfam by way of RNAcentral. Lineage: Archaea; Methanobacteriati; Methanobacteriota; Halobacteria; Halobacteriales; Haloferacaceae.